Molecule: non-coding RNA, 118 nt
Organism: Desulfobacterales bacterium S7086C20
Lineage: Bacteria; Pseudomonadati; Thermodesulfobacteriota; Desulfobacteria; Desulfobacterales
Source: Rfam
GAGGGUAGGGCCCCUCGGGGUCGGCUUGCAGGAGCAGGCUCCAAAGCACCUCAAGCUGCAUUGGUAAAGAGCCAUUGUGGUGAGCGUUGAGGAAAAGGUCCCGGCAGACGGGAUCAGC